UUCUUUUCAUUGUACUCAUUGCUUCUCUUCCUCUUUUCGUCAACGACAAUGGGUAACUUAAUCUCAACCUUCUUACCAGCAGACUUAUUUGAUCGAACUUCAAACUGCGUUGGUGAACAAGCAAAAUAUGUAUGGGGUCUCGAAAAAAAUCUUCGGGUCUUGGAGACUGAAUUGCACAAAUUGACUCGAGCAAGGGCCGAUCUGAAGACCAAGGUUGAGGUCGAAGAACAACGACCUCGAACCAGACGAACGAACCAGGUCGCAGGGUGGCUUGAAGAUGUGCAAAAACUGGAAACUGAAUUUACCGAGCUGGAACGAGUUAGAGCUCAUGAAAUGGAUAGAUUGUGCCUUGGAGGCCUCUGUUCCAAAAACUUCGUUUCAAGCUACAAUUACGGGACUCAGGUGGUCGAGUUGACGGAUCGAGUGAUCAAUUUAAAGAAAGACGGAGAAAAAAUUGAAGUCGUUGUUGAGAAGGCGCCGGAUGGUGCAGCAAUUGAAUUACCUCUUGAUCACACAGUUGUUGGUCAAGAACUAUUACUUGAUCAAGUUUGGAGAUGUAUCACUGAUCAGGAAAAUAACAGGGGAAUUAUCGGCUUGUAUGGUAUCGGGGGAGCCGGCAAAACUACCCUUUUAAAACAAGUCAACAACAACUUCUGCCAUCAACAGCAUAAUUUUGAUGUUGUUAUCUGGGCGGCUGCGUCAACACUUCAAGAUGACAUUGGAAAAAGGAUUGGCUUUUCAGAAGACAGAAACUGGAAGGAAAAAAGUUUAUAAUUAACGAAAGGGCCUUUUUCUUUUUUUAAAUCCCGCUAAAGGUUAUAAUUAACAACAAAUUAAUAAUAGAAGAGAGAGAAAUACCAAGUUCAAUAUGGUAAUAUUUUAUCUUCCCUUAACUGCUCCCCUUUGGCUUAUAAUGCGACCUUUAUACUCGUUGACAAAAUUGUAUUUGUCGCUUAAGUCUUGUUUGUUUUAAAAUGCUGGCAUAUUUAUGGAGUGGGAACUAGGGAUGGCAAUGGAGUGGAUUUGAUCCAAGAUCCAUGUGAUCCAAAUCCAAUCGGAUCGGAUUUGGAUCGGUUUAAAAUGGAUUUGGAUAUCGAUGUGCGGAUCUAAGACAGAUAUGGAGCAGAUAUGGAUCUAUCUUAAUAUCUAAAUCCAUAUCCAUAUCCACUCAUCUUUUAAUUUUAUUUUAUUUUAAAAGUUUAUUAAUAAUUGUGGAAUGAUAAUGAUAAUAAAUUUUAUUCAUAGCAUAUUAGUAAUAUUUACCAUGAAUUUAAACUCUUAAAACUUAAAGGUUAGUUUUGUAAAUUUAAAGGUCAGCCAGCCUCAAAACAUGUACAUGCAAUAUUCAAAUUGCAAUCCAAGUAAUAUAACCUGGUAAUAUAUUUUAUCAUAUUGGCCAAAUAAUUUUUAAGGAAUAUAGUUAUUCAUAUAUUUAGUCAAAUGUGGUCAUAAUAAAAAUAAUAAAUGACUGAAUAUAAAACAUAUUUAAUUUAUAUAUCAUUAUCUAAUGUUGUAGGAAUGAGGGUAGGUGUAUCGUGAAUACUAGAAUGAUGAAGGAGACAAUAGAAUAUUAGAUUGAUCUUACUCCUGCAAUUACUUCUGAAUGAUAUUUUAUUAUCUUUCUUAUUUGUUGUUUUGGUAUAGAAGUAUAAGCUACAAUAUUUAUUAUAUUUUUGAGAAAAAUUAUAUAAUUUAUUUGUUAUCAAUACAUUUUAGCCUUCAAUUUUCAAUCUAAAAAAUUAUUACUUUUUUAUUACGGAAUUUUAGAAUUCAUGACGGAUCUAGAGCAGAUUUGGAUUUUAAUUUUUUUUCGGAUUUGGAGCAGAUAUAGAUAUUUAUUUCUUUUUUGGAUCUGGAUAUGGAGCGAAAAAUAUGGAUUCAUAACAGAUCUGGAGCAGAUACUGAUCUUGAUUUUUAUUAUGGAUUUGGAUCUGGAGCAGAGUAGAUCCAACCCAUAUCUGCCCCAUUGCCAUCCCUAGUGGGAACCCAGAUGCUGAACUCAUAGUAAAUAUUUAUUUAAUUUGUUAUAAUUACAUUUGGUGGGAUAAUUUUAAAUAUUAAUUUAACAAGAUAGUGAUGUUUGCCUUGCCCUACAUGAAGAAAAAUAAGUAAUUAAAGAUUUUUCUUUUCCUUUAUAUUAGUAAUAGAUUUCAAAUGGAAAACAGACAAAUUUCAUUUUUGUUUCAAUAAUUACCCUAUCACUGUGUGCGUGCGUGAUCACAUAAUUUUGUACUACCGUCUGUGGAAUAACUUUAGGAAAAGAAAAUUAAUUUUUUUUAAGUAAUGAUAAAUAUUUUAAAAUUUUAUCUUAAAUUGUUUUCUUCUCUUAUCAAUUUUUUUUUUCUCCUAUCUUCCAAUGAAAGUGCAGGACCUCAAUUAUUUUAAUAGAGAUGUAGUAAUAAAUUAUUAAUGAAACAUGUCAAAUCCAAUGUAUAGAUAAUAAUAAAAUGAGGCUAAUGCUAAGUUACAUACAUGUAACUUAGGGGAUCCAUAAAAUAAAUAUACAUGGUUUCAAAAAAGUUAGCACAUGCUUGUUACAAAUAUAAAACAUUAUCUUAAAAGUCUCUGAACUUUUGUGUUCUCUUUAACAUUUUUCUCUUAUGUUGUUUUUGUACUAUAUGGAUACAAGAGUGCGUUUGGCACGCUGUAUUAUAUUAUGUUGUAUUGCAUUAUUUUAAUGCAGGUGUAUUGCAUUAUGUUGUGUUGCAUUAGUAAUGUAUUAUAAUAAUGUUGUACAAUGUUUGGUACUAUAUUGUACUGUAUUAAUUUUUAAUUAUAUUAUAUUUGAUAUUGCACUAUAUUGUAUUAAUUUUUUGUGACUAAUUUAAAUUAUAUAUUUAGAAAAUACUAAUGAAUUGUGCUAAACAAUCUAAUAAUUAUAUAUUUUAUUAAUUUUUAAUUAAUAUUAUUCAAAUUUAUUCAUAUUUAAAUAUUAUUAUUAGUUAUAUUAAAUUAUUUAAAAAUAACUAGUUUAAUUAUUUUAAUAAAUUAAAUAAUAUUAUAUUAUAUUAUAUUAUUUAAGUAUUUAUUAUUAGUUAUAUUAACUUAUUAAAAAUUAAUUAAUUAAAUAUAUUAAUUGAUAUAAUUUUACAUAUUAAUUAAUAUAAUAUAAUUAAAUAAUACAUUUUUUAGUUGUACAUUUACUAUGAUAAAAAUUAAAAUAUAAUAUAAUAUUAUUAAACAAUAAAUUUAUUAAUUUAUAUUAAAAUUAUAAUGUAAAAAUAAUAUUAUAUAAUAUAAUAUUAAAUUAAAAAUUAUAUUCAUUUAUCAUUAUUACAAAGUAUAUAAAAAAAAAAAAAAAAGAGGAAGCUAAAACUAAAGUGGUAACUGGACGCAUUAGCUAAACCCGACUAUAUGUCGGGUUUAGCUAAUAUAGCCAUUUGGUACCCCAAACAUGGGGCUGCAUUGCUAAUGUAAUGCAAUCCCAGGUAAAGAGGGGUACCAAACAACCCCCAAGUUCACUUAAUGUAACAUAACAUACUUUUAUAUAUAUAUGUAUAUAUAUAUAUAUAUAUAUACACACUACGUGGAGGUGAGCUCCUUAAGGUGAGAUUUAUCAAAAUUAUAAAUUAUUACAACAUGAAAUUUAUUCUUAUUUAUAAUUGACCUAAUAUAAAUUAAGAUCGUUACUUUUAUAGCUACAUGAAAUUAUUCUUAUAUAAAAUAUCACUACAUAAAUGUUUUAUUGCAAUAUUGAUCUCUCUUUUUUCUUUAUUGUAUUUAUCUCUUCAUAAUCUUUUCCUUUUUAUUAAAAAAAAAUCAAAUAAAAGAUUCAUCAACAUCUCAGUCCAACAGUCUACCAGCGAAAACGAGUGUCCAUGCUUUUGAACCAAGGCCCAAUAUGUGAGGGAGAGAUUGUUGGGUUGUCUUAUAUCGGUUGUGAACUAGGAUGGGAUUGAAUGAGACCCAAAACUGCCUAACAUGAAUUCUAUCACUGGGAUUUUUACCCAGUAUAACAAACAUAACACAACGAAUUAUCAAUUUAUCACCUAAUGGCUCUAACUUUAGCGAUGAUCACCUUACAUGAACAUGAAAAUUAAUCCCAUUGUUUAACUCAACACUGACGAUAAUCACUUAAACUCUUAUGCACCGAAGGAUAUACUCGCUACAGGGAAUCUUAACUCAUAAAGAUGCUCCCACAUCUUCCAUUAAGUUUCCAUCGAACAACUAUUCAUAUCAUUCGAUGAAAAAUUAAUUUUAGUGAGGGCCAAAAGAGCACGAGUGAUCCAAACCACUAAACAACAUCAUAACCAACACAAAAUUCAUACUAAACAAACCAUUACCAAAACAGCAAAGCUAGACAUAAAUUUGAACAGAUACACAAGCUACAUUCAUUACCAUAAUGUAUCGACUAAAUUUCCAAGCUCUCCUGUGCUGCUUGUCUAACUGAUUCAAAUCCACAUAGAUAAAUUUAAGCACAUUAAGUUUUCAAACUCAAAUCAAACAGCUUUAAAAGUUACUUCACAAACAAUGAAUUUCAUUUUCGAAAUACAAAGAAUCCGUUCAGUUUAAAACAAUAAAAAAUCGUCUACGACUACUCAACUCAUGUAUUAUAACUAAAAAAACGAAGGAUACCCACAAAAAUUAAAGAUAAAUUACCAAAAACCCAAAAAACUCAAGCCAAAAUUGCCAAAAAAAAAAAAGCGAGAGAAUGGAAAUUGGGGUACCAGGGGCGGGCGAGAGGAAACGAGAAGAGGAAGAAAGAGGGGUUUUAGAGAGAGUGGGAAUUAGUGGAGGCAAAAAUGGAGAGUUUUGCCUCCACUAAUGAUUGGUGGGGUGGUGAUGGCGGUGGUGGGGUUAAUGUUCUGGAGGGUAUGCUGAAGAGAGGUCGCAAGAGAACCUCCAUAGCCUUUAAAGAGAGUUGAGUUGCUGCUUUCUUUUGCCGUGGAUGGAGAGAGAUUAAGGGAUUAGAAUUCUGUAUGGAAUUUACUUUUUAUUAAAUAAAAAAUUAAUGUUAAAAUCAUUUUAUUUUAUUUUUUUAUCUAGUUAUCAUUGACUUAAUAUUUUGGAUCUUCAUCCAAAGUAAAGGCACAAAAUUUUUAUUCUAAAUAAAUAUUCUCAAUAUAAAUUUAUCACUUAAAUAAUAAAUGAUAAGAUUUUAUAUUAAUUCUGUCAUUACUGAAAUGAAUUACAAAUUUUAUAUGACGUGUAAACGUAUCAUUAUAUUCUUGAUAUUUGACAUCUUGACUAAAGCAACAAAUGUAUCAUAUUUUUAUUUUGGUAUUGUGGUUCUCUAAAAAUACCCUCACCAAAUUAGCUUAAUUCUUUUCAUUGUACCCAUUGCUUCUCUUCCUCUUUUCGUCAACGACAAUGGGUAACUUAAUCUCAACCUUCUUACCAGCAGACUUAUUUGAUCGAACUUCAAACUGCGUUGGUGAACAAGCAAAAUAUGUAUGGGGUCUCGAAAAAAAUCUUCGGGUCUUGGAGACUGAAUUGCACAAAUUGACUCGAGCAAGGGCCGAUCUGAAGACCAAGGUUGAGGUCGAAGAACAACGACCUCGAACCAGACGAACGAACCAGGUCGCAGGGUGGCUUGAAGAUGUGCAAAAUCUGGAAACUGAAUUUACCGAGCUGGAACGAGUUAGAGCUCAUGAAAUGGAUAGAUUGUGCCUUGGAGGCCUCUGUUCCAAAAACUUCGUUUCAAGCUACAAUUAUGGGACUCAGGUGGUCGAGUUGACGGAUCGAGUGAUCAAUUUAAAGAAAGAUGGAGAAAAAAUUGAAGUCGUUGUUGAGAAGGCGCCGGAUGGUGCAGCAAUUGAAUUACCUCUUGAUCACACAGUUGUUGGUCAAGAAUUAUUACUUGAUCAAGUUUGGAGAUGUAUCACUGAUCAGGAAAAUAACAGGGGAAUUAUCGGCUUGUAUGGUAUGGGGGGAGUCGGCAAAACUACCCUUUUAAAACAAGUCAACAACAACUUCCGCCAUCAACAGCAUAUUUUUGAUGUUGUUAUCUGGACGGCUGCGUCAACACUUCAAGAUGACAUUGGAAAAAGGAUUGGCUUUUCAGAAGACAGAAACUGGAAGGAAAAAAGUCUUCAAGACAAGGCUGUGGACAUCGCUAGCAUUUUAAGCGGAAAGAAGUUUGUGUUGUUAUUAGAUGAUGUAUGAGAGCGCAUUGAUUUAACAGAAUUGGGUGUCCCUCUUCAAAAACUAAAUGAUGGGUCCAAAGUAGUCUUGACAACUCGUUCAGCUGGUGUUUGCGAUCAAAUGGACGCUGAAAAGUUGGAAGUGUAUAGUUUGGCGCAUGAUAAAGCCUGGGAAUUAUUUCAGGAGAUGGUCGAAAGAUCCACUCUUGACAGUCAUACCAGUAUUCCAGAGCUAGCCGAAACCUUGGCAAGAGAGUGUGGUGGGUUGCCGCUAGCGCUUAAAAUAGUGGGUCGAGCGAUGAAAAGCCAAAGGAAAGUUGGAGAUUGGAAACGUGCAAUUAACAAAAUGAGAACAUCAGCUUCUAAAUUCUCAGGUAUGAAGGAAGAGGUGUUUUCGCGUUUAAAGUUCAGCUAUGAUAGUUUGUCUACGGAUGAACUUCGUUCCUGUCUCCUGUAUUGUUAUUUAUAUCCUGAAGACUACGAAAUUCCUAAAAGGGAAUUGAUUGAUUAUUGGAUUAGUGAAGGAUUUGUGUAUGAUUUUGAUGAUGGAUGCGAUUUUAUUGAUGACCUUCUUCAAGCAUGCUUAUUGGAGGAAGAAGGCGAUGAUCAUGUAAAGAUGCAUGAUAUGAUUCGUGAGAUGUCAUUAUGGAUAGCGUGCACGGUAGACAAGGAGGAGCAGAACUUUCUGGUUCGCGCUGGAGUUAAAUUGACCGAAGCACCAAAGGUUGAAGAAUGGGAAGGUGCCAAACGGAUAUCUCUGACGGCAAAUGGAAUUGGAAGCCUAUCGGAAAUUCCCACGUGUCCACGUCUCGUCACUUUACUUCUGGAUGGAAAUCGGAUUGAGGAGAUUACUGAUGGCUUCUUUCAAUCUCUGUCGACUCUUAGAGUAUUAAGUCUAAGAGGAAAUUUUCCCCCAAGUACACUACCUUCAGGGAUUUCAGGUUUGGUUUCAUUACAUCAUCUUGAUCUUUCUUCGACUGACAUAACUGGGUUGCCGCAAGAGCUGAAGGCAUUGGAGAAGCUGAGAUAUUUGAACUUGGACUAUGCAUUUCAUUUGUCUAUAAUUCCACAUCAAUUGAUAUCUUGUUUUUCAAAGUUGGAGGUACUCAGGUUGUGUGGGUGCGGUCGCUUUGGUGUAAUAAAAGGGAAAGAAGGUAACGUUCUAUGUGAUGGUGCUGAACCUUUGAUGAAGGAAUUGCUGGGUUUGAAGCAUUUAAAUGUUUUAAGCUGGUCCUUCGGAAGUUCACUUGCUGUCCAAAAGUUUUUGAAAUAUCCAAAGCUGGUGAGCAUCACUCAAUCUGUAUGGGUUGAAUGUGGCACGUAUACAAGGCCACCGUUCAAUGUCUUACAUCUGGCAUACAUGGAGAAUCUUCAGGAGUUAGAACUUGAAUCCUGUAAUUUGGAAGAGAUGAAGAUUGACAGCACAGAAGAGGUAAAGAAACUUUUUCGAAAUGGUUUCCGCAAUCUUAACACAGUUGUCCUAAGGUCUUGCAGAGGGAAGGACUUAACGUGGCUUGUUUUUGUUCAAAAUCUCAAGCAGCUAAAUAUGCAGGGUUUUACUAUGGAAGAGAUAAUCAGUGUUGAAAAAUUGAGUGAUAUUUCAGAGGUAAUCGGGUCAGAGCAUAACUUUUUCCCACGACUCGAAUAUCUAACCAUGUGGCGGGGAACAAAUUUAAAGAGCGUUUACCCGAAUCCCCAGCCUUUUCCAAAGCUGAAGAAAAUUCAAGCAUUUCAUUGCCGACAGCUGUAGAAGCUCCCACUCAAUUCCAGCAGCGCGAAGGGACGUCGAGUUGUGAUGACAAUGCUAUAUUUGCUGCAGGACUUGAGUAAAAAUAAAAACAGCAAGAUUUGAUUAUGCUGUCAAUAAAAUCCUGCAAGAUUGUAGGAAAAAAAUUUGUUUUUAAAUUUUAUGAUAUCAGAUAUAUGUUAAAGAUAUGUAGGCAGAUUUUUUGGCUUUGUUUGUUUCUUUUCAUGUAUAAAUUCAAAUACUGCAAUAAUGAAUAAAAUACUGCAAUUAACAGACCCAAUUUCUAUGUGUUCUCUUUUCUUUGUUUAAAACCAACAAGGUGGUAUCAGAGCCCUUAUUCUUAAGGGACUUGUAACGUGAUUAGAGAGGCUUCCUACACUUCAAUAUGGCAGGAAAUGGUUUCUUAUCUGCUCCUCCAGUUUUCACAGGUGAAAAUUAUCAAAUAUGGGCUGUGAAAAUGGAAUCUUACUUGGAUGCAUGUGACCUAUGGGACUUGGUGGAAGCAGAUCCAGAGGAUCCACCAUUAGCUCAUAUGAGGAAUAACAGGGAUGAAAGAAAAUGGAGAUAUAAGGCCAAGACAUGCAUUCACUCUGCAGUUUCGGAGACAAUUUUUACAAAGAUCAUGACUUGUGAAACAACGAAACAGGCAUGGGAUCUUUUGAAACAAGAAUAUCAGGGGAACGUCAGGACAAAACAAAUGCAGGUCCUGAACCUGAGAAGGGAAUUUGAAAUGUAGAAAAUGAAGGAGACAUAAACAGUUAAUGACUAUAAAGACAAGUUGAUGAUGAUUGCCAAUAAAAUUAGAAUGCUUGGGGAAGAGUUUUCUGAUAGAAGGAUUGUAGAGAAGAUUUUGGUGACCUUGCCUCAGAGAUUUGAAUCUAAAAUCUCUUCACUUGAAGAGUCCAGAGAUAUGUCAACAAAGGAGAGCUUACAGAAAGGAGGAGAUAGUUGAAGGAGCAUUUCAAGUGAAAGAGGCUGAUCAAGCUCAGGGAGGCAGCAAAGAAAAGAAACAGUGGAGUAAGAAGAUUUACAAGAAGGGGGAAAGUAGCAUCAAUGAAGGCAACAAGGGCAAGCACUCCCCGUGUCCUCACUAUAAGAAAACCUCUCAUCCGCAAAAGAAAUGUUGGUUUAGGCCUGACAUUCAAUGCAGGGCAUGCAAGCAAAUUGGGCAUAUGGAGAGGGUGUGUAAAAACAAACAGCAAGAAGGACAUCAAGCUCAAGCAGCAGAACAACAACAGGAUGAACAACUUUUUGUUGUAUCUUGUUUUUCGAGUAACAGUUCGAGUGAUGAUUGGCUCAUCGACAGCGGAUGCACAAAUCACAUGUCUUUUGAUGAAUCUCUUUUCAAAGAAGUAAACAAGUCAGAAGUGUCAAGAGUUAAAGUUGGCAAUGGGCAGUAUAUUGAAGUGAAAGGUAAAAGGACAGUUGCAAUAAAAAGCUCAGCAGGUAUCAAGUUAAUUUCUGAUGUAUUACUUGUUCAUAAAAUUGAUCAAAAUCUACUGAGUGUGGGACAAUUGCUUGAGAAAGGUUAUUCUGUUGAAUUUAAGAAUAACAUGUGUGUCAUUACUGACCCAAAUGGUGUAGUGUUGUUCUCUGUGAAAAUGAAUAGCAAAAGCUUCAGCUUAAGUUGGAACAAGGAUGAAUGUAGUGCAUAUCAAUGUACUUUGAACCAGGCUGAGUUAUGGCACAAGCGGAUGGGGCAUUUUCAUUAUUCUGCAUUAGAUUACAUGCAGAAAAAUGAUCUUGUGCAAGGAAUGACUUUCAAUGGAGGAGGAGCAUCAGUGUGUAGAGUCUGUCAGCUGGGAAAACAAGCUAGAUUGCUAUUCCCUGUUAAUAAGGCAUGGAGAGCAGUUGAGAAGCUUCAGUUAAUCCACACAGAUGUUUGUGGACCUAUGAGGACUGCAUCCUUAAAUGGUAAUAGGUACUUCAUGGUUCUUAUUGAUGAUUUUAAUAGAAUGUGUUGGAUUUACUUUCUCAAACAAAAAUCUGAAGUUGCUAGUGUAUUUUGGAAGUUUAAAAAAUGGAUUGAAAAUCAAAGUGGUUGUAAAAUCAAGGUGAUUAGAUCUGAUAAUGGGACUGAAUAUACAGCUGAUAAAUUUGCUAAGUUUUGUGAAGCUGCAGGGAUUGAACAUCAGCUUACAACAACCUAUACACCUCAACAAAAUGGAGUCAGUGAGAGGAAAAACAUGACAGUCAUGGAGAUGGCUAGAUGUUUGUUGUUUGAGAAGGAAAUGCCAAAAAUGUUUUGGGCUGAGGAUGUUAAUACUGCUGUAUUUCUGCAAAACAAGUUACCAACAAAGGCUUUAAAGGGAAAAACACCUUUUGAAGCUUGGUUUGGUUUUAAACCCUCUAUUCAUAACUUGAGAAUUUUUGGUUGCAUGUGUUUUACUCAUGUUCCAGAUGCAAAAAGAGAGAAGUUGGAUCAAAAGGCAGAAUAUGGAGUUUUUGUAGGAUACAACACUCUCACCAAAGGUUAUAGAGUUUAUCAACCUUUGACGGGAAGAAUCAUAGUGAGUAGAGAUGUUAAAUUUGAUGAAACUGGAGGAUGGAAUUGGGCAACAGCUGAACCAAAGCAAGUUUAUGCAGAAGAAAAAACAUCAGAAUUGCAAGAUGAUGAUAUAAUUGAUGAUGAACCAAUAAGAGGUACCAGACCACUUAUAGAAAUUUAUCAAAAGUGCAAUAUGGUUGUGCUUGAACCUGCAGGUUAUAAUGAGGCUGCUAAAGAUCCAAAGUGGCUUGAACCAAUGGAAGAUGAGAUCAAGAUGAUUCACAAGAAUCAAACUUGGGAGUUGGUGGACAGACCACUACACAAGAAAACUAUUGGUGUGAAAUGGGUUUAUAGAACCAAACUCAAUGCUGAUGGUUCUGUAAACAAAUUCAAAACAAGGCUAGUUGUAAAAGGGUAUGCUCAACUAUUUGGUGUUGACUUUUCUGAAACGUUUGCACCUGUAGCAUGGCUGGACACCAUCAGAUUGCUUUUAGCACUUGCAGCACAAAAGCAGUGGAAAAUCUACCAGCUUGAUGUUAAAUCAGCUUUUUUAAAUGGCUAUUUGGAUGAAGAAAUCUUUGUUGAGCAACCUGAGGGUUUUGUUGCAGAUCUGAAGAAAGUAUAUUUGUUAAAAAAAGGCAUUAUAUGGCUUGAAGCAGGCUCCAAGAGCUUGGUACAGCAGGAUUGAUGAUCAUUUGCUGAACAUAGGCUUCAACAAGAGCAUGAGUGAAUCAACUUUGUAUAUUCAAGUAAUUAAUCAUGAAUUGAUUGUUGUUUCACUUUAUGUUGAUGAUUUUCUUGUCACAGGAAGCAAUGAAGAAUUAGUGAAGCAAUUUAAGGUUCAAAUGAUGCAAGCAUUUGAAAUGACUGAUCUAGGAGAGAUGACUUUCUUUUUAGGUCUGGAGAUUCAAAAGUCACAGCAAGGGAUCUUCAUUGGACAGCAAAAAUAUGCUAAAGAAGUGCCAAAGAAAUUCAACAUGGAGGAUUGCAAGUCAGUAUGUACUCCUUUAGCUCAAAAUGAGAAAUUUAGUAAAGAUGAUGGUGCUGAAAAGAUUGACGAAGCAUUAUAUAGGAGUAUUAUAAGUUGCUUGAUGUAUUUGACAGCAACAAGACCUGAUAUAAUGUUUGAUGUAAGUUUGCUGUCCAGAUAUAUGCAUUGUGCAAGUGAAUUGCACUACAAAGCUGCUAAAAGGGUGCUCAGGUAUAUCAAGGGAACUUUGGAUCAUGGAAUAAAAUUUGAGAAGGAAGACAAGCUGAUUUUGCAUGGUUUUGCUGAUAGUGAUUGGGCAGGAUCCUGUGAUGAUAUGAGGAGCACGUCAGGCUACUUGUUUAGUCUUGGUUCAAGUUGUUUCUGUUGGAGUUCAAAGAAGCAGGAAAUCGUAGCUCAGUCUACUGCUGAGGCUGAGUAUGUUGCAGCUGCUGCUGCAGUCAAUCAAGCCUUAUGGCUAAGGAAGCUUAUGACAGAUUUGAAAAUGAUUCAGGAUUAUGCAACUGAAAUCUUUGUUGAUAAUCAAGCUGCCAUAGCAAUUUCUAACAAUCCAGUGUUCCAUGGGAAGACAAAGCAUUUCAAAAUUAAAGUAUUAUUUUGUUAGAGAAGUCCAGAAGAAUGAUGAAGUAAGGCUCGUGUAUUGCAAGACUGAAGAUCAGCUAGCUGACAUUUUGACAAAGGGACUGUCAAAGUCAAGAUUUGAGUUGUUGAAGAAAAGAAUUGGUGUCUGCAGCAAAAAUAGCAAGGAGGAGUGAUGACAAUGCUAUAUUUGCUGCAGGACUUGAGUAAAAAUAAAAAUAGCAAGAUUUGAUUAUGCUGUCAAUAAAAUCCUGCAAGAUUGUAGGAAAAAAAUUUGUUUUUGAAUUUUAUGAUAUCAUAUAUAUGUUAAAGAUAUGUAGGCAGAUUUUUUGACUUUGUUUGUUUCUUUUCAUGUAUAAAUUCAAAUACUGCAACAAUGAAUAAAAUACUGCAAUUAACAGCCUCAAUUUCUUUGUGUUCUCUUUUCUUUGUUUAAAACCAACAAAUUGUCAUCGAGGGAACGAAAAAAUGGUGGGAAGAGCUACAAUGGGAGGAUCAAGCCACCCAAAAUGCUUUCUUUUCCUGUGCCGUACUUUGGGAGGAUCCUUAUUAUUAAUAUGUUUGAAUAUGUAUUUCCUUUUUCUUUUUUUUCUUGCUAUAGAGUUGCAUGAUUGUGAUGAUCCUUAUUAUUAUUAUCCUUUUUUUUUUUCACAUGAAGUUCAGUAACUACUUCCGAGAUUAAUAAGAUCCAACUCGUUUUUGGUUUAGUCAAAAACUUUUUGUGGCUCUAAAUCCUUUUUAACACCAGGCCAGGCAUCCACAAAUAUAUUGACACCAUUUUAUUUAUUGAUGUUUAUAUAACUGAAUUGAUUACAAAUUACCCUUUUUGUCCAGUGUGUUCAGAAUAUACUCUGCACAACUAACACAAAAAUAAACAUGUAACAUACUAAUCGUUUAUGUUAAUUUAUGGAGGCCUUAUUGUCCAAGGCAUAUGUAAAACCAUUUCACAUUCGGCAUUGUAAUGUUUAUGGACGGAUUUAAAUGAUGUCACACAAAGUCACAAAUAGUUAAAAAAAAGAAGGUGUUUGUUUUAAAAUGUUGGCAUAUUUAUGGAGUGGGAACUCAGAUGCUGAACUCUGAAUGGGCUGGAAUCGGAAUGGGUUAGAAUCGGAAUGAGCCGGAAUGAGAAUGGGGAAUGAGAGUCAAAAUAAGUUGUUUAUUUGAACUGUAGGAAUCGAAAUCGGAAUGAGUUAGAACCCCAUUAAUGUGUUUACUUUAUCUAAGAAUCGAAAUCGGAAUAAGUUAAGUUGUUUUAAGUUACUAAAACACCCUUAGUUGUUAAUAAUAAUAAUAAUAGUUGUCCUUUGGUAUUAAUGAUAAUAAUAAUAAAUUUAAUAAUAACAUUAUAAAUAAAUAAAUAAUAGUAAUAAUUAAUGAUAAUAAUGAAAUUAAAUAACAACUACUAAUACUACAAUAAUAAUAAUAAUAAUAAUAAUAAUAAUAAUAAUAAUAAUAAUAAUAAUAAUAAUAAUAAUAAUAAUAAUAAUAAUAAUAAUAAUAACAACAACAACAACAACAUUAAUAACAAAUAAGCAAACAAUGAAAUAAUACAAACACCAAUCUACAUAAUUUUAAUGUACAAUAAGUGGCCGAACAAUAUAAGAAAUUAAUAAUUUAAAAUAUAAAAUUAUAAUUCCCAAAACAAACAUUGUGCUCCUCUUCACCGGAUGUAGCAGAUCGCGACGAAAAAUGGCGGCAGGAUGAGCGCGACCACGGUGGCAACAGAUCGAUCGGGACCACGGCGGCAGAUCGUGACGAACGAAAGCAGCAGAUCGCAGCCUUUUGACACCCCCUCGAAGACCCUCCUUUAAAUUCCUUAUAACUCUUUAAUUAAAAUUAUUUAAAUAAUUAAAGAUAAAUUAAUUCCAUUUUAUUUUGAUGGAAAAUUUAAUUAAUACUUAAAUAAAAUUAUUCUUUUAACAUUUUUCCACCCACCUCAUUUCAUAUAUAUAUAUAUAUAUAUAUAAUUUUUAGAAACUUUUAAUAAUUUAUAAUCUUUUUAAGGUGAAAUUUAAUGAGAAGAUUAUUAAUUUUAAUUUAUGGAUUAGUAUUUUAUAAAUUAAACCAAGGUACUUUGAUAAAUAAAAAUUAAAACAAGUUUUAUAAGGAUUUUGGAGUGUACGAAUUCAGAAUAUAGAUUUUCAUGGGGACGUUGAAUAUGCUGAAGCUGAAGCUAUGAAUUUUAGAAUAAAAAUGGCAAUAGACUUUGGUUUAAUGCCAUUAAUUGUUGAAUCAGACUCGAAUACUAUUUUAAACUUGGCGAAAGGUUUUGAAAGAAGUAUGAAAGAAAUAUCAUGGUUAAUUUUCGAGAUUCGAAAUUGUAUGGUUGUGAAAGACCACUUCGAAAUCAAUCUUACAUAGAGAAGUAGUAGUGAGACCACUCAUAAAUUAGAUAAAUAUGAUGUUAACAAUUCAGGCUGUGUAAUUUGGUUGGAGGAAAUUUCAACUCAUGUAAGUCUUUUUCCUUUAAGCGAUUAAUUGAAGUUUUCCAUUUCCAAAGAGAGAUAGAGAGAGAGAGAGAGCUCAACUCAAAUGAAAGUACGAAACAAAGAGUAAAUCCUGAUAGUAGAAAAAUGAGCCAUGAGUAGAACUAUUCGCACCUUUGAAAGCCCUCAUAAAAAUCUUUCUUCAAUAUGUCCCGCUAAAUCAUUUAAAAAAUAAUAUUAUUUCUAAGGGCAGAGCUAUUUGCACUCUAAAAAUUAUUCUCAACGUUUUAUUACUAUAUACACAUAUUUAUUAAUUUAAAAAAAUGAACUAUAUUUUGUACAACUAUGAUGCCACUUCCACCUCCAAUUGAAUGUCAGAAAAUUCAAAGUUUGUCAAAAGAGGAUGGUAAAUUAAGCCCCCUUUUUUUUUUAAUCUGGAUUUGGUUGAACAUUUUUAUGUCGCAAAAAUGUUUGCUGUGUUGUAAUGCCUAAGUGUUGCAGACUAGUUUGUAAGAGUCUGAAUAAUUGUCCAUGUUACUCUGGUAUUGUGGAAUGCCAUGUAUUUUUUGGCCAAAAGAAAAAAUCAAGCAACCAAUGUAAACUUGUUUAAUAUCAUCAUAAUAUAACUGAAAAAGAAGUAAUUAUAGUCAUACAAAAAAAAUUAAUAAUUGUCAUGUCCUUAAUAAUAAUUUAUAUCAUAAAUAUUAUUGAAAUAAUUUUUUUUUAUAAAAUUAUCAGUGUUUAGUGUAAUUUUUAGAGUGUAUAUAGCCUCAUUCUAUUUCUAAACCCACAUAAGUUGAUUCCAAAAACACCCUUGGCUUACACACCAACCCCAUUUUCACAUUUUCUUCGUCUUGGGGAGCUUGAAACCCAAAUCUGAUGGCUUCAACUUUCGAAUAAUCAUUAUCUCCAUUAGAACUUAUAAUUUUAAAAGCUAUUUCCAUAAUAUUUUCAUUAGAAUUUCUUAUAACAACAUCCAACAUUGGUUAUUGAUAUUUUAAGGUUUCAUCUUAAAUAAUAAUAACAAAAUAAUUAAAAUUUUAUCAAAAUUUAAGGAAAUACAUUGUACUUUGAUAAACAAGGAAUGUCAACUAAAUAUCGUCAAAAUAAAUAAUAAAUUUUUAAGUCGAGUUUUGGUUUCACAUAAUUGUAAUUAUGGAGACUAGUUAUUCGAAUAAAAUUUAAUUUCUUCUGUUUAUCAUUGUAACUUUACAUAGGGACAAUUGCAUGAUUAUAAAGGCAGGGUUUGAUAAGGAUUUUUUGGAGGUACCAAUAGGACCACUCAUGAGCCAUGACAAAAUUAAGCCCAUGCGAGGCCCACCUAAUCCAUUUUUACAUUUAGCCAAUUAGCCUGAAGAAUAAGACGAUAAUAAACAGUAAGCCUAAAUAAUAAGAUGAUAUGAAAGUAAGAAUAAGGUUAAGAUACCAAUUUUUUAGUCUUAACUUCUUAAGUCUUAAGUCUUAAUGUAACAUGUCAUUCAUUUAUUAGACGAUAAAUUUCAUAACUUGUAAAAUUAUUUAACCACCAUCCAAUAAAUGAUUGUCAUAUCUAUUGAAAUUUAAAUUUAAAUUUUAGAAUACUUAGCAUUGAGCUGAAUCUAAACGAUUUUAUUUUCUAUUAUUUUUAUUUUAUUUUAAUUUUUUUUCACAAUCGGAUUUUUCUUUGAGACAAUAGAAAGCCUUUUGGCUUUAAGUUUCUGAAAACCAAUAAUAAAAAAUUAUCCAUGAGUUUCUGAAAACCAAUUAACUUCAAAAUCUCUUCCAGCGCUAGGAGGAACAUCUUCAAUAACUUUUUCAUGACCUUUUGGGUAAUAAAUCCCAGUUCUUUCAUGAGGAACCCAGCUACAAUUCCCUUCAUUUUCUCCCACAUUAUUAUUCAUCUGCUGGCUCCUCAUCACAUUUCCUUCUUCCGCAUUGGAUUUCAAUGCUGUUUCUCUUAUCAUAUCAUUAGAACUUGCUUUCUUUUGAAAGGAUUUCCUCAUUAUUGGCCUAUAUGUUUCAAAAAGACUUAACAAAUUAAUAAUGUAAAAACAAAGACUAAAAUAUUCAAACACUCAAAUGAAUGAAAGUAAUCUCUUUUUAUUAUUGCGUGGACAGUGGCGAAAUCAGGAUUUUGGAUGUCAUCAAUAAUAGAGAAACAACAAAUUUUAAGUAGGUUAUAACACAAGAAUAUAAACAUAUGGGGGCUACAAAAUAAAAUUAUCAGACAUAAGGAUAAAUUUAAUUGAAGACUUUCAUAUUUCUUGAUAAUGUUUUUUAACCUGAGUCCCCUGUGGAGACAUAUUGAUUCAGUUAAUAAAACAUUUAAUUCUAUGUACUUAACCAACCACUCAUAAUUAGUAAUUACAUAAUUUGAAACUAUUAGGCCUAUUUCGAACGAACUGUUUCAUAACAAAAUUAAUUUAGAUAAAGUGAAAAGAUUUAUUUACAAACAUACCAUGCAAUAAUGAAGUGCGAUUGUCAAAAUGAAAUGAUGAAAUAGCAAAGUAGAUAGAUAAAAACAUGGAGUUAAAGGUGGGAGCUCCUCUAGCAAAUGAUCCUGUCAUCUUUUUCUUCUUUUUUCUCUCACUUUCUCUCUUUCCAAACAAUGUGGGUGGAAUGAAUUGAAUUAUGAUUUAGAUAGAGAGCUCUUUACAUAGUGAAGUUAAAUAAGAGAAUAUUGUUAUCUAUUUCUCUCAUCUCUAGGGAGAUCGUUUAUUGUACGUCAUUUUCUGUUUGGAUAAAUAUUAAAUUAUAACACUCUUUCUUGAUCAUUGGGGAGCACUCAUUGCAGAGCAUGGCCUUCUUUUGUUCCCUUUUGUUUUGUUUUUGUUUUUUAGUCAUCUAAGUUAUGGGACAUGGCUUGUGGACUCAGCUUUUAGAAACUUUCCCUAGAUAAGUAGUUGAAUCUAGGGGAGGUACUUUUUAGUUUUAUAAGUGACAUUGAUUCACCUCAUGAUUAGUGGCCAGAGAGAAUAAUUACGAAAAAAAAAUUUUAAUUGUUAAUUAAUUUUGUUGAAUAUAUUAAAAUAGCCAAGUUAAAUUUAUAAAAAUAGUUUCAUAAACUCUUAAAUCCAUAAAAUUUUAAUUUUGAGGAUUACAAAAACCACACUUUAACAGAUAUACAAAAAGAUUGUAAAGAUAUAAGAUGAGUCGUUAAUAAUUGCACGUGCAAACAUCGUAUAUUCUUUAUAAUUAAUUGUGCAGAUUUUCAUGACCAAUGCACCAGAUUUUGAUGACCAAUGCACCUGGGUGCGAAAACAAAAAUUAGAACAAAAUAUAUUAAUAAGGGAAGGCCACUCUUUUGUCAAUAUAUAUAUAUAUAUAUAUAUAUAUAUAUAUAUAUAUAUAUAUAGAGUUUGUUAUAAAAGAUUACCUCAGUAUCAAACUCUCCCGAUUCAACAUUGACAUUGAUGACAGUGAAAAUCUUUACAAGAUCCACCAAUAAUCCAGGUCGAUCAGCCGUCUCCACCAAAAGCAAACUUCAAUAAAACAAAAGGUAAACUAAACAAAAAUAGUAAGGACCAAAUUAUCUGACUACUUCAGUUAUGGGCAGGAAUUGCCACUUGGGCUGGAGUAUGAGUAGUAAUAAUGUGGGACCAAAGUUUGGUGGAUAGCAAAAGCCCCAUCAUCUAGAUAAGAGAAUGAAUUAUGCAUUGCCUUCGGUUGGGGCCAUCAUCAUAGAUGCUUAUGUGGGUUGCUAUGUCCACAUCAACCUGACAAAUUCCAGCACAACAAGAUUUGAGACAAGAUUGAAGUGGGACGUUAUCCUUCCCAUAAUAACUCAUAUACGUAGUUUUUAACAUUCACAACAUGAUAUUAAUUUCAAUGGCAGGCAAAUUGAAUAUAAUGUCUUUAAAGAAAAUGAGGAUAAAAGUGAAGUAAUAUUUGGCCUAAGAGAACUCUAAAACAACUUAGUUUCCUAUUCAAAUGAUCACUAGUGAGAAGAGCCAAAAAUAUCAAUAAUCUGAAAAAUCAAAAUAAGACCAGAAAGCAAAAACCUGUUGUUUUGGAGGAUCAACGCCAAAGGCAACACCCAUUGCCAACUGGGAACUUGAUUCCUGAUUCCAUCACCAACACAAAUGGAAUAAGCUUUUGAAUAAGACAAUUCCUACAGGUGCUCCACCAAGUGAUAUCUCAAGAGAGACAAAAAAAAAUGAUUACCGGGUGAUACUGAAGUAGAUUGUUUAUAACUGUCAAACAAAUUGCCUCAAGCACCUCAGGAUCAUCAACUUUCCUACCAGUAUCACCGCACACAAGCAUCAUGACCAAAUUAAUCAAAACCACAGUGGGAAUCUAUUGCAAGAACUGCUCCAAAAAACACCGAUGGCUCUUUGGAUCAUUGAUUUUAGGUUCUAGUAUGUCCAAAAUUUUAACGAUUUCAACAUUAGUGAUAAACAUCUAUUUGCAACAGACUGAUCAUACUUGUAUAUGGAGCAUCACAAGUAGGUAUUUACUAUGCUCAUCAAAUAUAGACCAGAAGACGUUGACAACAAUUAAAGGGUAUUAGUGAAUGAAACUGCAAGCAGAGAAUACAAAUCAGCUCAGUAAUGCAAGGGCAUGAAAAGCAAAAUGCAUAUGCAUCACAAAAUUAUAGAGAUAUAUAAUUUCGCAGUCAUAUGAUGAUAUUGCAGCGGUGAAGCCGUGCGUGAGGUUAAGGCAAGCGAUGGAAUGACUUGCGUUACAAAAGAGGUAUUUGCAAUGAUUGUGUACUGGACGGAAAUUGAAUCCAUGUUUAAGAAUUUACCGCCGGGGAAAAAAUGUCAAUACAAAGUCAAUGCGAACGAAUAGUGAAGUCAGCAGUCGCAAAGGCAAAGUUCUUAACCAGAUGGACUCCAGAUAGAUUAGCGGUGGCAGUUUCACAGCUGACAGAUGAACAAAGAAUGGCUGCUUGUCAAAUGGGCUUUGGUAGUUUUCUACAACUGAACCGUGGCAAGCUAAAAAGGAAACUUUGUGGCUAGUUAAUUGAGAUGAUUGAUACUUUGAGGUACAUUUUAGAGUUGAAUGGUAUUAGCUUUCGAACAAGAUCAUCAAAGAAACUCCACCAACCAGGAAAUUUAGACUUAAUCUAUGCUCUGCAAAUUCAUAUACUCUCUAAUAUGAAACUACUUUUAUGUGUUUUGUUAUUCCGACUUGGUAACGUUGUUAUGGAAGCCUGACAACUAUUAUGUCCGUGCAAUUUUUAUUGUAUCUUUUGUUAUGUCAUGAUAUCGAAGCUUGGUUUUCUGACUCCAACUACUAAGAACUGCAGUUGCAGCAUCUUUUGAAUAUUACAUAUGUGCUUGUAGUGUCUCCACGGAUUAAAAUCUGCUAUUUAAGUUCUUCUACCGCCCCCGCUUCUUCUUUCAUUUAUACUUGCUGCACCAUUUACUUCACACUCUGUAAAGCCAUAUGAAAGCUUGUUCAUUUAUGUUCACUUGCAAUUCAAAAGCAGUGUUUAUUUCAACUGUCAAAUUGACUACUUGCACGUAUUGAUUUCAGUCGAAACAAGGUUAUUGGUCGAUCCAGAAAUUGAAUCCAUAUGGCCAUUCCAGCAUCAUUCAACCACCUAAUUUCAAAUAUAUAAAUUAAUUCAACCCACUUAAGUGAUCAAAGGCGUGGAACAAAUCAUGAAAGAUUUUUCAGCUAUCAUAAAUUCGAACGGAUGUAGUUUGUAUUCUUUCAGGCUUAGACAGAUUUUUUGCAACAUAAACUUGUAUGUAAUGUACAUUUUUUUGUUCCUUACAAAUUAAUUGCUGCUAAAAUAAUUGUUUCGACCAAUAUUUAUUGUUAUAAUAGAGAAACCUUUUCUUGCAACUCAAACAGUUCCGAUGGCAUGAUCUGCAUCCCCUGUUUGCCUCUUGGGCUGCACGAUCUUGCUCCUUUUCAUCAAACGGCAACUUCGCUGCAGACAAAAAGAGGGGGUACAGUGCGCAGGGGCACCGUAGAUGUAGCCCAAAAAGAUGAUUUUGUCCCUCCAUGUCUAAGUAUUUUAACCAAAAAAUAAUAAUAAUUCCUUACAUCAUCAAUGAUUGCACUUGUAAAUCUAAGGGAUUAGAAUUCUGUAUUGAAUUUAUAUUUUAUUAAAUAAAAAAUUAAUGUUAAUUUUUUUUUUUUUUUAUCUAGCUAUCAUUGACUUUAUAUUUUGGAUCUUCAUCCAGAAUUAAGGCACAAAAUUUUUGUUCUAAAUAAAUAUUCUCAAUAUAAAUUUAUCACUUAAAUAAUAAUGAUAAGAUUUAAUAUUAAUUCUAUCAUUACUGAAAUGGAUUACAAAUUUUAUAUGACUUGUAAACGUAUCAUUAUGUUCUUGAUAUUUGAAACAUGAAUCAAGCAACAUAUGUAGCAUAUUUUUAUUUCAGUGUCGUGCUUCUCUAAAAAUUGUUGAAAGCAGAAGCCAAGCUGGCAUGCCUCCUGAGCUGGUGUGGUAGGUGAGUUGGAUUUGUUGAGCUGGCAAAUGAAAUUAUUUAUGAUGAUGCUGUGAAUUUAAUUGUCGUAUAAUGUUUGUGUAGAAUUAAGAAUGGAAGACAAUGUCGAUGAUGACAAGAAGAAUAGCAGCGCAUGUGAAUUGAAUAGUUGCAUCUUCUAGAAGCUUAAUGUGAUUGGUUCACAAUUGAAUUGAAUAGUUGCAUCUGCUAAUGAAGAAUAGCAGCGCAUGUGAAUUGAAUAGUUGCAUCUUCUAGAAGUUUGUCUCUGUAUGCAAACUAGCAAAGCUCUGUAUUUCAUUUUCAUUCAAGUCAUCAUAAUCAAUAAAGGCCUGAUUCUCAUACUCUGUUUGCAUUUGAAAGCAAUUCUUAAGAAUUUAAGUAAAAUGACCCUCACCAAAUUAGCUUAAUUCUUUUCAUUGUACCCAUUGCUUCACUUCCUCUUUUCGUCAACGACAAUGGGUAACUUAAUCUCAACCUUCUUACCAGCAGACUUAUUCGAUCGAACUUCAAACUGCGUUGGUGAACAAGCAAAAUAUGUAUGGGGUCUCGAAAAAAAUCUUCGGGUCUUGGAGACUGAAUUGCACAAAUUGACUCGAGCAAGGGACGAUCUGAAGACCAAGGUUGAGGUCGAAGAACAACGACCUCGAACCAGACGAACGAACCAGGUCGCAGGGUGGCUUGAAGAUGUGCAAAAACUGGAAACUGAAUUUACCGAGCUGGAACGAGUUAGAGCUCAAGAAAUGGAUAGAUUGUGCCUUGGAGGCCUCUGUUCCAAAAACUUCGUUUCAAGCUACAAUUACGGGACUCAGGUGGUCGAGUUGACGGAUCGAGUGAUCAAUUUAAAGAAAGACGGAGAAACAAUUGAAGUCGUUGUUGAGAAGGCGCCGGAUGGUGCAGCAAUUGAAUUACCUGUUGAUCACACGGUUGUUGGUCAAGAACGAUUACUUGAUCAAGUUUGGAGAUGUAUCACUGAUGAGGAAAAGAACAGGGGAAUUAUCGGCUUGUAUGGUAUAGGGGGAGUCGGCAAAACUACCCUUUUAAAACAAGUCAACAACAACUUCUGCCAUCAACGGCAUAUUUUUGAUGUUGUUAUCUGGGCGGCUGUGUCAACACUUCAAGAUGACAUUGGAAAAAGGAUUGGCUUUUCAGAAGCCAAGUACUGGAAGGAAAAAAGUCUUCAAGCUAAGGCUGUGGACAUCGCUGGCAUUUUAUGCCGAAAGAAGUUUGUGUUGUUAUUGGAUGAUAUAGGGGAACGGAUUGAUUUAACACAAUUGGGUGUCCCUCUUCAAAAACUAAAAGAUGGGUCCAAAGUAGUCUUGACAACUCGUUCAGCUGGUGUUUGCGAUCAAAUGGACGCUGAAAAGGUGGAAGUGUAUAGUUUGGCGCAUGAUAAAGCCUGGGAAUUAUUUCAGGAGAUGGUCGAAAGAUCCACUCUUGACAGUCAUACCAGUAUUCCAGAGCUAGCCGAAGCCUUGGCAAGAGAGUGUGGUGGGUUGCCGCUAGCGCUUAAAACAGUGGGUCGAGCCAUGAAAAGCCAAAGGAGAGUUGGAGAUUGGAAACGUGCAAUUAACAAAAUGAGAACAUCAGCUUCUAAAUUCUCAGGUAUGAAAGAAGAGGUGUUUUCGCGUUUAAAGUUCAGCUAUGAUAGUUUGUCUACGGAUGAACUUCGUUCCUGUCUCCUGUAUUGUUGUUUAUACCCUGAAGACUACAAAAUUCCUAAAAGGGAAUUGAUUGAUUAUUGGAUUAGUGAAGAAUUUGUGUGUGAUUUUGAUGGUGGAUGCGAUUUUAUUGAUGACCUUCUUCAUGCAUGCUUAUUGGAGGAAGAAGGCGAUGAUCAUGUAAAGAUGCACGAUAUGAUUCGUGAGAUGUCAUUAUGGAUAGCGUGCACGGUAGACAAGGAGGAGCAGAACUUUCUGGUUCGCGCUGGAGUUGAAUUGACCGAAGCACCAAAGUUUGAAGAAUGGCAAGGUGCCAAACGGGUAUCUCUGAUGGGAAAUGGAAUUAGGAGCUCAUCGGAAAUUCCCACGUGUCCGCGCCUCGUAACUUUACUUCUUUCAAUCGAUGUCUUCUCUUAGAGUAUUAAGUCUAAGAGGAAAUUUUCCCCUAAGAACACUACCUUCAGGGAUUUCAGGUUUGGUUUCAUUACAUCAUCUUGAUCUAUCAUCGACUAACAUAACUGGGUUGCCGCAAGAGCUGAAGGCGUUGGAGAAGUUGAGAUAUUUGAACUUGGACUAUACACGGUUUUUGUCUAUAAUUCCACAUCAAUUGAUAUCUGGUUUUUCAAAGUUGGAGGUACUCAGGUUGCUUUCACGCGGUCGCUGGAGCGUAAUAGAAGGUAACGUUCUAUGUGAUGAUGCUGAACCUUUGAUGAAGGAAUUGCUGGGUUUGAAGCAUUUAAAUGUUUUAAGCUGGACCUUCCGAAGUUCACUUGCUGUCCAAAAGUUUUUGAAAUAUCCAAAGCUGGUGAGCAUCACUCAAUCUGUAAUGGUUUGCCAAUGUGAAAGUCCACCGUUCAAUGUCUUACAUCUAGCAUACAUGGAGAAUCUUCAGGAGUUACGCAUUUCAGACAGUAAUUUGGAAGAGAUGAAGACUGACAGCACAGAAGAGGUAAAGAAACUUUUUCAAAGUGGUUUCCGCAGUCUCGACAGAGUUGUCAUAUGGAGUUGCCAAAAAAUGAAAGACUUAACGUGGCUAGUUUUUGUUCAAAUUCUCAAGCAGCUGCGUAUAGUCUUUUGUACAGAAAUGGAAGAAAUAAUUAGUGUUGAUAAAUUGAGAGAUAUUUCGAAGAUAAUCGGGUCAGAGCAUAACUUUUUUGCACAACUCGAAUCUCUAACCAUAAAGUGGGGAAGAAAUUUAAAGAGCGUUUACCCGAAUCCCCUGCCCUUUCCAAAGCUGAAGAAAAUUGAAGUACGUGAAUGCCCACAGCUGAAGAAGCUCCCACUCAAUUCCAGCAGCGCGAAGGAACGUCGAGUUGUCAUCGAGGGGUCGAAAAAAUGGUGGGAAGAGCUACAAUGGGAGGACCAAGCCACCCAAAAUGCUUUCUCUUCCGGUGUCGUACUUGGGGAUGAUUUUCAUUAAUAUGUUUGAAUAUGUAUUUCUUUUCUUUUUCUUUUUUUUUUUAAUUUUCAUUAGAUUUAAUUGCAUCUUGUUGUUGUUGUCUGGUGUGUCAAUCGUUAUCUAUUUUCAGUUAAUAAAAUUUCAGCAGUGGAUUCUUGGUUUUAGAAUCCUCCCACUGGAAAGAAUUUCUCCUUUGGCUUGAAUGCGACCUUUUUACUCGUCGACAAAAUUGUAUUUGUCGCUUAAGUCUUGUUUGUUUUAAAAUGCUGGCAUAUUUAUAGAGUGGGAACUCAGAUGCUGAACUCAUAGUAAAUAUUUAUUUAAUUUGUUAUAAUUAUAUUUGGUGAGAUAUUUAUUCAAUAAUUGCCCUAUCACUUUGUGCAUGAUCACAGAAUUUUGUACUUCCGUCUGUGAAAUAACUUUUGGAAAAGGAAAUUAAUUUUUUUAAGUAACGGUAAAUAUUUUAAAUUUUUAUUUUAAAUUUUAUUUUAAAUAAUAUAGUAUGUAAUGUGUCAUUUAUUUAGUGAUUGAUAAUUUAAUAUAGGAUUUAAAUAAAUUAAUUAUGCUAUUUUAUUAUUUAAUUAAUAAAUAUUAUAUAAUUUAAAAUAGAUUUUUGAGAUAAAAAUUAUAAAAGUAAAAUUCUACUCAACAGACUAAAUUUAAAAUGAUGUGAUUGGCAGGUAAGACUUAAGAAUUAGACAAAAUUUCUCAUUCAACAGCUUGUAGAAAAUUUAUACACUAGGCCUUAGCUAAACUUGGACUUGUCGUAUGUUUGAAGUAUUCGACGAUAAUCAUAUCUGCAUUUUUAUUUUAUUUUUUAUUUUUGGUUUGUUUAGGGCUUUUCAUCGGUUUUCGUCUUGGUCUUUGUCCUGGUCUUGGCGUCUUGCUAUCAAAUCAAGUGUUCUCUUCUCCUAUCCUCUAAUGAAAGUGCAGGGCCUCAACUAUUUGUUACUGCUAUCACUUUAGAGGUUGAUGCUAAUGUCCGAAGGUCACGUUUAAUUUGCUUGAAUGUGACCUUUACUUUGGUUGACAAAAUUGUGAUUGUCACAAAGAACAAACUAUAAAAGUGCAGUUUAAAUCGAACACUGAAUUCCCUAUGGAAAUUUUCGCACCCGUAUAUAUAUUCUACAUUAUUUGGUUGCAAAGACUAUAAUUAACAAGAAGCUAAUAUAUAUAGUAGAGAGAGAAAUAACAAGUUCAAUGUUGGUAAAAUUUUAUCUUCCCUUCACUGCUCUCCUUUGCUGCAAUCAAGUGGCCUCACUUACAAAUUUUGACUUUUAAUUAUUUCAAUUAACACAAGAAAAAAAGGGCAAUAUAGUUUACAUUACUCUAUCAGCCUUAUAUAAAGGGUAUAAAUAUGAGAGUGCGUUUGGAAUUGAAGUCGGACACUUGUCGCUUAAAAGCUACAGUAGCAAAGUGUUUGGUAAAUACUAAUUGUUGUGUCUUGAAAGAUAUGUUGAUAUGAUUUUUCACUUGUAUAAUAGAGAAUUUAUUAUUUUAUUAUUAAUAAUUUCGUUAAAAUUAUUAUUUAAAAUUUAUAUUUAUUAAAUAUUAUUAACUUUUGUUUUAUAGUUACAAUUUUUUUUUUUUACAGCAACUGUACCUUAAAAGUUAUAACACUUCAAUUCCAAACGUACCUUAAGUCUGUAAGGCAUAAGUUUUCACUCUUCGGGAAUCUAAGGAGAUUAGGGCAAGAGCUGCACAUUUGUAGUCUCAAAUUCAUUUGACAUCAGCCAAUUUAAUGUCUAUGGACGGGUAUAAAGGACGUCACAGACGGUUAAAGAACAAGGUGUUUGAUGGAAAUGUCAAGAAGUUCGAUGAAAUGUCUCACCUACACAACCAAGCCACUUAACAUUGCAGUCUUAUAAUACAAUUCCUACCUUCUCUUCCAUUUUCACCAACAUAAUUCUUUCUUUCUCACUUUAUUUUCUUCCUUGAAAUUUUUGUUAACAAAAAUGGGUAACAUCAUUCUCAUGCGUGCUUCUUAUCACCAGACUCAAUUCUUGCAGUUUUAUUUUAUUUUAUUUUUCCUUCGUGGAGAUGCUAAAAUAUAUAUGAGAUCUAAAAAGCUAAUCUUGAUGAGUUGCAGAAUCCAAUGCAGAAUUUGAAAGUUACAAAAGAUUAUAAAUACUAUUUUAACUUGUAAGCUUCCAUUGCUAUACAGUGAGGUAUGUCUAGAUAUCAUUUUGGUCUUUUAUAUAUUGGGUUCCAGUGAAAGACUUUUGUUCUAGUUGAAUUUAAUUUUGUCUUUGUAUUUACAGACAAAAUAUUAGGGACAUUUAUCAUACAUAUUUGGCUAGUUCGCCGUGGAAAAAUAAUAAUAGUUGAAAAGACAUAGGGUACUUUUUAUUUUCCUUUAUAUUACUAAUAGAUUUCCCACGCGCAACAGACGAAGUCAUUGCUGCUUCAAUAAUUGCCCUAUCACUGUGUUCAUCAUCACAAAUUUCUUUAUUACGUUUGUGAAAUAACCAUUGCAUAAAAAAAUUACUCCAACUUUUUAACUAAUAAUAGAUAUCUCAAAUUUUAUUUUCAGAAUAUGGUAUGUAAUGUAAGCGAUCGAUAGUUCUUUAUAAAAUAUAUAAAUAAAUUAAUAGUGUUAUCUUAGUGUCUAAUAUAUAUAAAUGACUUUCUCCAUAUAUUGCACUAUUGAUAUGGGCUAAAGUUUUAUACUAUGAGACCCAAUUUCUAUAAUUUACACUAUAAGUUAAAAGUAUUUAGAAAAAUACUAUUGCAAAUCAAAAGGUAUUAUCUAUUUUAUACCUAAAGCAUUUUCACUAUUUAAGACUAGUAAAAUUUCUAUAUUAUUAUAAUAUUAGAAUCAAACACCAAUAAGCGAGUAAAUCAGGUGGAAUAAGAAUGUUCUAACUUAACCAAGGUCCUCGGUUUGAAACUUAGAAAUGCAACUACAUUAAAUACUUAUUGGGAGAGAUUUGCCGCUUUAGUGGUUCUAUCCGGCUCGAAUCUAGAUUAGUCGGGGAUCUAAUGUGGUCUUUGGAUACUAGAUGAUUUAAUAUACCGAUAAUAUUGGAACCAAACUCAUUUACAAUUAUGAAGAGGUUAUAAUUUAAUAGAGGCAUAGUAACAAACUAUUAAUAGAGAGUAUAAAAUUUAAUGUAUAAACAAAAUUCUAUAAUUUACACUAUAAGUUGCAAGUAUUUAGGUCAAUACUAUUGCAAAUCAGAAGAUAUUAUAUAUUUUAUGCCGAAAAUAUUUCCACUAUUUAAGGCUAGUAAAACUUCUAUAUAAUUAUAAUAUUGGAACCAAACACCAACAAGCGAGUAAAUCAACUAGAAUGGAAAUGUUCUAACGUCAAGGUCCUCGGUUCAAAACUUAGAAAUGCAACUACAUUAAAUAUUUAUUGGGAGAGAUUUGCCGCUCUAGUAGUUCUAUCCGGGUCGAAUCUGGAUUAGUCGGGAAUCUAAUGUGGUCUUUGGAUACUAGAUGAUUUAAUGUACCAAUAAUAUUGGAACCAAACUAAUUUACAAUUAUGAGGAGGUUAUAAUUUAAUAGAGGCGUAGUAACAAACUAUUAAUAGAGCGUAUCAAAUUUAAUAUUGGAAUCCGAUGAUUGGUUGCAACAUAAGAUAUUUGUAAGCUUAGUUAAAGGUUCAUUAAAAAUUAUAGAGAUAUAUAAUUUCGCAGUCGACGAAGCCAUGCAUGAGGUUAAGGCAAGUGAUGGAAUGACUUGCGUUACAAAAGAGGUAUGUGAAGUUGCACUAUAAAAAUAAAAUAAAUUUGUAUUUUCAAGUAGUGAAGGUGUAGUUAGUUUAUUUGCGGUAGCAGUUUCACAGCUGACAGAUGAACAAAGAGUGGCUGCUUGUCAAAUGGGCUUUGGUAGUUUGCUACAAUUGAACCGUGGCAAGCUAAAAAGGAAACUUUGUGGCUAGUUAAUUGAGAUGAUUGAUACUUUGAGGUACAUUUUAGAGUUGAAUGGUAUUAGCUUUCAAACAAGAUCAUCAAAGAAACUCUACCAACUAGGAAAUUUAAACUUAAUCUAUGCUCCGCAAAUUCGAAUAUUCUCUAAUAUGAAACUACUUUUAUGUGUUUUAUUAUUCCUAGCUUUUACCGACUUGGUAACGUUGUUAUGGAAGCACGACAACUAUUAUGUCCGUGUAAUUUUUAUUGUAUCUUUUGUUAUGUCAUGAUAUCGAAGCUUAGUUUUAUGACUCUAACUACUAAGAACUGCAAUUGCAGCAUCUUUUGAAUAUUACAUAUGUGCUUGUAGUAUCUCGACGGAUUAAAACCUGCUAUUUAAGUUCUUCUACCCCUCCCCCCCUUCAUUCUUUCAUUUAUACUUGCUGCACUAUUUACUUCGCACUCUGUAAAGCCAGAUGAAAGCUUGUUCAUUUAUGUUCACUUGCAAUUCAAAAGCACAGUUUAUUUCAACUGUCAAAUUGACAACUUGCACGUAUAGAUUUCAGUCGAAACAAGGUUAUUGGUCGAUCAAGAAAUUGAAUCCAUAUGGCCGUUCCAGCGUUAUUCAACUACCUAAUAUCAAAUAUAUAAAUUAAUUCAACCCACUUCUGUGUCAAAGGCAUGGAACAAAUUAUGAAAGAUUUUUCAGCUAUCAUAAAUUCGAACGAGUGUAGUUUGUAUCCUUUCGAACUUAGACAGAUUUUCCUUCCAUUAACCUUACAGUGUUAGUAAUCCUAUUACUUGUUUUUAAAGCUUGAAUAGUAUACCGAAAUUUUUGGUUUUUGCAACAUAAACUUGUAUGUAAUGUACAUUUUAUAGUUCUUUACAAAUUAAUUGCUGCUAAAAUAAUUGUUUCGACUACUAUAUUUAUUGUUAUAAUAGAUAAACAUUUUCUUGCAACUCAAACAGUUCCAAUGGCAUGAUCUGCAUCCCCCGUUUGCCUCUUGGGCUACGAACCUGCUUAACAGCUGCACCAUCUUGCUCCUUUUCAUCAAACGGCAACUUCGCUGCAGACAAAAAGAGGGGGUACACUGCCCAGGGGCACCAUAAACGCAGCCCAAAAAGAUGAUUUUGUCUUUCCAUGUCUUAGUAUUUUAACCAAAAAUAAUAAUAAUAAUUCUUUACAUCAUCAAUGAUUGCACUUGUAAGCCAGGCAAUAGUUUUUUUAUUAAAUAAAAAAUUAAUGUUAAAUUUUUUUUUUUUUUUUUUUUUUUUUAUCUAGCUAUCAUUGACUUAAUAUUUUGAAUCUUCAUCCAAAGUUAAGGCACAAAACUUUUAUUCUAAAUAAAUAUUCUCAAUAUAAAUUUAUCACUUAAAUAAUAAAUAAUAAGAUUUAACAUUAAUUCUGUCGUUACUGAAAUGAAUUGUAAAUUUUAUAUGACGUGUAAACGUAUCAUUAUGUUCUUGAUAUUUGACAUAUGAAUUAUAAAGCAACAAAUGUAUCAUAUUUUAUUUCGGUAUUGUGCUUCUCCAUAUUUGCUUAAUUCUUUUCGUUGUACUCAUUGCUUCUCUUCCUCUUUUCGUCAACGACAAUGGGUAACCUAAUCUCAACCUUCUUACCAGCAGACUUAUUUGAUCGAAUUUCAAACUGCGUUGGUGAACAAGCAAAAUAUGUAUGGGGUCUCGAAAAAAAUCUUCGGAUCUUGGAGACUGAAUUGCACAAAUUGACUCGAGCAAGGGCCGAUCUGAAGACCAGGGUUGAGGUCGAACAACAACGACCUCGAACCAGACGAACGAACCAGGUCGCAGGGUGGCUUGAAGAUGUGCAAAAUCUGGAAACUGAAUUUGCCGAGCUGGAACGAGUCAGAGCUCAAGAAAUGGAUAGAUUGUGCCUUGGAGG
This 29505-nucleotide long non-coding RNA is filed under the name Citrus maxima (pomelo). RNAcentral's name for it is "long non-coding RNA (CMAX_LNC000885)". The record is from RNAcentral. Lineage: Eukaryota; Viridiplantae; Streptophyta; Magnoliopsida; Sapindales; Rutaceae.